This 212-nucleotide long non-coding RNA is filed under the name Mytilus galloprovincialis (Mediterranean mussel). Lineage: Eukaryota; Metazoa; Mollusca; Bivalvia; Mytilida; Mytilidae. The record is from RNAcentral.
CUGUAUACAAGGUAUUCAACAUAAGGACUUAUGCUUUCUGAAAUAUAAAGCUUUAUACAACUAGCUUGCAGUGUGCUUUUUGCACAUUGCCAAAGGUUGUACAAUGCCCUUAUCCAAUUUUACUUUUUGUAAGAUGACCUAUAUUUACAUGAACUUAAAAUCUUGUUUCUGCAUUAAAAAGAUUCAAAAUUGACAACCAGAGCAUUCUGAAC